AAAGGCAGUUGUUAAGUUCGGGUUUUAAAUUGACGUAAAUCAAAACAUGGGAAAGGUUAUCUUAGACAAACACAAAACAUAAAUCUUAGCUCUUGGCACGAAGAAUGCGGGUCUGGUCCGAAGAAGACGGAGAACUGGAACAAUCGGAUGACUCUGAAGAAUCGGAAGAAAUUAAACGUAAUGGGGACGAUACUGGUCUCGUACAGUUGGCGGUACUUUUGUAUACGUAUACAAAAAAAACCCUAUAAAGUUAUGGUUAAAAUAAAAUUAUAUUAUUACAUUGGCAAUUUCGCUUACCUCAAUUCAGAGGGUUUCACACGUAAUUUGGAUGCAGCGCAAAGAAACGGAUGUCGUACAACUGAAUAAUCCCCAAAAUGGGCAAUGGAAUAAAUUUGCUUCAAAACAGCAAUCCAAAAAACGUAAAGCAACACUCUACUGCAG
Molecule: long non-coding RNA, 441 nt
Organism: Photinus pyralis (common eastern firefly)
Lineage: Eukaryota; Metazoa; Arthropoda; Insecta; Coleoptera; Lampyridae
Exons: 3
Source: RefSeq, a predicted model, not a curated record